Molecule: ribosomal RNA, 464 nt
Filed under: uncultured bacterium
Lineage: Bacteria
Description: partial 16S ribosomal RNA
Rfam family: Bacterial small subunit ribosomal RNA
Source: RNAcentral
GACGAACGCUGGCGGCGUGCUUAACACAUGCAAGUCGAACGGAAAGGCCCCUUUUGGGGUACUCGAGUGGCGAACGGGUGAGUAACACGUGAGUAACCUGCCCUUGACUUCGGGAUAACUUCAGUAAACUGGGGCUAAUACCGGAUAGGAAUCCUUGCUGCAUGGUGGGGGUUGGAAAGCUUCGGCGGUUUUGGAUGGACUCGCGGCUUAUCAGCUUGUUGGUGGGGUAGUGGCUUACCAAGGCUUUGACGGGUAGCUGGCCUGAGAGGGCGACCGGCCACAUUGGGACGGAGAUACGGCACAGACUCCUACGGGAGGCAGCAGUGGGGAAUAUUGCACAAUGGGCGGAAGCCUGAUGCAGCAACGCCGCGUGCGGGAUGACGGCCUUCGGGUUGUAACCGCUUUCAGCAGGGGCGAAGCUUGUGGUGACGGUACCUGCAGAAGAAGCACCGGCUAACUACGUG